RNAcentral lists this ribosomal RNA (253 nucleotides) under uncultured bacterium. RNAcentral's name for it is "partial 16S ribosomal RNA". It matches the Rfam family "Bacterial small subunit ribosomal RNA", at positions 524 to 776 of the family's 1533-position model. The record is from RNAcentral.
UACGGGGGGGGCAAGCGUUGUUCGGAAUUACUGGGCGUAAAGGGCUCGUAGGCGGCCAACUAAGUCGGAUGUGAAAUCCCCAGGCUCAACUUGGGAACUGCAUCCGAUACUGGAUGGCUUGAAUUCGGGAGAGGGAUGCAGAAUUCCUGGUGUAGCGGUGAAAUGCGUAGAUAUCUGGAGGAACACCGGUGGCGAAGGCGGCAUCCUGGACCAACACUGACGCUGAGGAGCGAAAGCCAGGGGAGCAAACGGG